GACGAACGCUGGCGGCGUGCCUAAUACAUGCAAGUCGAACGAACUCUGGUAUUGAUUGGUGCUUGCAUCAUGAUUUACAUUUGAGUGAGUGGCGAACUGGUGAGUAACACGUGGGAAACCUGCCCAGAAGCGGGGGAUAACACCUGGAAACAGAUGCUAAUACCGCAUAACAACUUGGACCGCAUGGUCCGAGCUUGAAAGAUGGCUUCAGCUAUCACUUUUGGAUGGUCCCGCGGCGUAUUAGCUAGAUGGUGGGGUAACGGCUCACCAUGGCAAUGAUACGUAGCCGACCUGAGAGGGUAAUCGGCCACAUUGGGACUGAGACACGGCCCAAACUCCUACGGGAGGCAGCAGUAGGGAAUCUUCCACAAUGGACGAAAGUCUGAUGGAGCAACGCCGCGUGAGUGAAGAAGGGUUUCGGCUCGUAAAACUCUGUUGUUAAAGAAGAACAUAUCUGAGAGUAACUGUUCAGGUAUUGACGGUAUUUAACCAGAAAGCCACGGCUAACUACGUGCCAGCAGCCGCGGUAAUACGUAGGUGGCAAGCGUUGUCCGGAUUUAUUGGGCGUAAAGCGAGCGCAGGCGGUUUUUUAAGUCUGAUGUGAAAGCCUUCGGCUCAACCGAAGAAGUGCAUCGGAAACUGGGAAACUUGAGUGCAGAAGAGGACAGUGGAACUCCAUGUGUAGCGGUGAAAUGCGUAGAUAUAUGGAAGAGCACCAGUGGCGAAGGCGGCUGUCUGGUCUGUAACUGACGCUGAGGCUCGAAAGUAUGGGUAGCAAACAGGAUUAGAUACCCUGGUAGUCCAUACCGUAAACGAUGAAUGCUAAGUGUUGGAGGGUUUCCGCCCUUCAGUGCUGCAGCUAACGCAUUAAGCAUUCCGCCUGGGGAGUACGGCCGCAAGGCUGAAACUCAAAGGAAUUGACGGGGGCCCGCACAAGCGGUGGAGCAUGUGGUUUAAUUCGAAGCUACGCGAAGAACCUUACCAGGUCUUGACAUACUAUGCAAAUCUAAGAGAUUAGACGUUCCCUUCGGGGACAUGGAUACAGGUGGUGCAUGGUUGUCGUCAGCUCGUGUCGUGAGAUGUUGGGUUAAGUCCCGCAACGAGCGCAACCCUUAUUAUCAGUUGCCAGCAUUAAGUUGGGCACUCUGGUGAGACUGCCGGUGACAAACCGGAGGAAGGUGGGGAUGACGUCAAAUCAUCAUGCCCCUUAUGACCUGGGCUACACACGUGCUACAAUGGAUGGUACAACGAGUUGCGAACUCGCGAGAGUAAGCUAAUCUCUUAAAGCCAUUCUCAGUUCGGAUUGUAGGCUGCAACUCGCCUACAUGAAGUCGGAAUCGCUAGUAAUCGCGGAUCAGCAUGCCGCGGUGAAUACGUUCCCGGGCCUUGUACACACCGCCCGUCACACCAUGAGAGUUUGUAACACCCAAAGUCGGUGGGGUAACCUUUUAGGAACCAGCCGCCUAAGGUGGGACAGAUGAUUAGGGUG
RNAcentral lists this ribosomal RNA (1489 nucleotides) under Lactiplantibacillus argentoratensis. Its description in RNAcentral is "bacterial SSU rRNA". It matches the Rfam family "Bacterial small subunit ribosomal RNA". The record is from RNAcentral. Lineage: Bacteria; Bacillati; Bacillota; Bacilli; Lactobacillales; Lactobacillaceae.